Molecule: ribosomal RNA, 386 nt
Filed under: uncultured bacterium
Lineage: Bacteria
Description: bacterial SSU rRNA
Rfam family: Bacterial small subunit ribosomal RNA
Source: RNAcentral
AUUGAACGCUGGCGGCGUGCCUAACACAUGCAAGUCGAGCGGUAACAGGUGUAGCAAUACAUGCUGACGAGCGGCGAACGGGCGAGUAAUGCUUCGGAAUCUACCCAAUGGUGGGGAAUAACCAGCCGAAAGGUUGGCUAAUACCGCAUACGUCCCACGGGAGAAAGCAGGGGAUCGCAAGACCUUGCGCCAAUGGAUGAGCCGAAGUCGGAUUAGCUAGUUGGAGGGUAACGGCCUACCAAGGCGACGAUCCGUAGCUGGUCUGAGAGGACGACCAGCCACACUGGGACUGAGACACGGCCCAGACUCCUACGGGAGGCAGCAGUGGGGAAUAUUGGACAAUGGGGGAAACCCUGAUCCAGCGACGCGCGUGUGUGAAGAAGGCC